This 344-nucleotide unclassified non-coding RNA is filed under the name soil metagenome. RNAcentral describes it as "partial contains 5.8S ribosomal RNA, internal transcribed spacer 2, and large subunit ribosomal RNA". The stretch from base 1 to 121 matches the Rfam family "5.8S ribosomal RNA", at positions 35 to 154 of the family's 154-position model. The record is from RNAcentral.
GAUGAAGAACGUAGCGAAAUGCGAUAAGUAAUGCGAAUUGCAGAAUUCCAGUGAGUCAUCGAAUCUUUGAACGCACAUUGCGCCCGCUAGUAUUCUGGCGGGCAUGCCUGUCCGAGCGUCAUUUCAACCCUCAAGCCCCCGGGCUUGGUGUUGGGGAUCGGCGAGCCUCCGCGCCCGCCGUCCCCUAAAUCUAGUGGCGGUCUCGCUGUAGCUUCCUCUGCGUAGUAGCACACCUCGCACUGGGAAACAGCGCGGCCACGCCGUUAAACCCCCAACUUCUGAACGUUUGACCUCGGAUCAGGUAGGAAUACCCGCUGAACUUAAGCAUAUCAAUAAGCGGAGGA